AAAUUGCUUCAAAUGCAGAAAUGAAUGAAGUAAUUAUUAUACAUUCAAAUGAGCUCUAAAAAUAACAGAGAUAUUUGUUGUCACAAGGAAGCCAACCUAACUAUUCUGGCAACUAAACCUGGUUUUACAAAAUGAAGCUCUAGGUAAUUACUGGAAGCUAAGUUUCUUGCUCGUCGAACCAAUGCUUCAAAAUGACGAGAUCAAUUAUCUCCAUGGAAUCAGAUCUACUUGGGAAUUAUUCUGCCUUUUGCCUGCGGUUUUCCUCUAUAAUUUUCUGGAACUCUUCCUCACUUCUUGCUAGCAAACGCUUCACGGUGUCAAAAGUAGUAAGCCUAAUGCUGCUAUUAGGGAGAGUUUUCAGUGCAUUGGGAACAAAACCCCUGUAGAGUCCAACUAUACCAUCACGGGCCACUAUACCUGGGAAGGCAUCAAAAAUUGUCAUAUAAGGUGUACCCUUCAUUUGCAUUUGCCUUCUCACUGUGUCCAAUGGAUAGCACAAUAGAGUGGCAAUAGUUGCUGAAAUCAAACCUGUAGCCAGAGUGGCUUCAGUUCGUUUCUGAUACUCUUCUGGCAAAGCUUUUUUCACCAAGUCAAAAACACAAAAG
RNAcentral lists this unclassified non-coding RNA (605 nucleotides) under Hevea brasiliensis (rubber tree). Lineage: Eukaryota; Viridiplantae; Streptophyta; Magnoliopsida; Malpighiales; Euphorbiaceae. The record is from RNAcentral.